GGUUCGAUGGCGUAGUUGGUUAUCGCAUCUGUCUAACAUUCUAAAUCAUGUUGCUACACAGAAGGUCCUCAGUUCGAGCCUGGGUCGAAUCA
Non-coding RNA from Mycena floridula, 92 nucleotides. The record is from the annotation of a GenBank genome assembly. NCBI's taxonomy places the organism in Eukaryota, Fungi, Basidiomycota, Agaricomycetes, Agaricales, Mycenaceae.